This 646-nucleotide ribosomal RNA is filed under the name Salmonella enterica. Its description in RNAcentral is "bacterial SSU rRNA". It matches the Rfam family "Bacterial small subunit ribosomal RNA", at positions 1 to 640 of the family's 1533-position model. Lineage: Bacteria; Pseudomonadati; Pseudomonadota; Gammaproteobacteria; Enterobacterales; Enterobacteriaceae. RNAcentral also lists the same sequence under 4 other names. The record is from RNAcentral.
UGAAGAGUUUGAUCAUGGCUCAGAUUGAACGCUGGCGGCAGGCCUAACACAUGCAAGUCGAACGGUAACAGGAAGCAGCUUGCUGCUUUGCUGACGAGUGGCGGACGGGUGAGUAAUGUCUGGGAAACUGCCUGAUGGAGGGGGAUAACUACUGGAAACGGUGGCUAAUACCGCAUAACGUCGCAAGACCAAAGAGGGGGACCUUCGGGCCUCUUGCCAUCAGAUGUGCCCAGAUGGGAUUAGCUUGUUGGUGAGGUAACGGCUCACCAAGGCGACGAUCCCUAGCUGGUCUGAGAGGAUGACCAGCCACACUGGAACUGAGACACGGUCCAGACUCCUACGGGAGGCAGCAGUGGGGAAUAUUGCACAAUGGGCGCAAGCCUGAUGCAGCCAUGCCGCGUGUAUGAAGAAGGCCUUCGGGUUGUAAAGUACUUUCAGCGGGGAGGAAGGUGUUGUGGUUAAUAACCGCAGCAAUUGACGUUACCCGCAGAAGAAGCACCGGCUAACUCCGUGCCAGCAGCCGCGGUAAUACGGAGGGUGCAAGCGUUAAUCGGAAUUACUGGGCGUAAAGCGCACGCAGGCGGUCUGUCAAGUCGGAUGUGAAAUCCCCGGGCUCAACCUGGGAACUGCAUUCGAAACUGGCAGG